GCACUCUGACCAGCCAUGCCGCGUGCAGGAAGACUGCCCUAUGGGUUGUAAACUGCUUUUAUACAGGAAGAAACACUGCUACGUGUAGCAGCUUGACGGUACUGUAAGAAUAAGGACCGGCUAACUCCGUGCCAGCAGCCGCGGUAAUACGGAGGGUCCGAGCGUUAUCCGGAAUCAUUGGGUUUAAAGGGUCCGCAGGCGGUCAAUUAAGUCAGAGGUGAAAUCCCAUAGCUUAACUAUGGAACUGCCUUUGAUACUGGUUGACUUGAGUCAUAUGGAAGUAGAUAGAAUGUGUAGUGUAGCGGUGAAAUGCAUAGAUAUUACACAGAAUACCGAUUGCGAAGGCAGUCUACUACGUAUGUACUGACGCUGAGGGACGAAAGCGUGGGGAGCGAACAGGAUUAGAUACCCUGGUAGUCCACGCCGUAAACGAUGGAUACUAGUUGUUGGGCAUUAGCUCAGUGACUAAGCGAAAGUGAUAAGUAUCCCACCUGGGGAGUACGGUCGCAAGACUGAAACUCAAAGGAAUUGACGGGGGCCCGCACAAGCGGUGGAGCAUGUGGUUUAAUUCGAUGAUACGCGAGGAACCUUACCAGGGCUUAAAUGUAAGUUGCAUUAGUUAGAGAUAGCUAUUUCUUCGGACCACUUACAAGGUGCUGCAUGGUUGUCGUCAGCUCGUGCCGUGAGGUGUCAGGUUAAGUCCUAUAACGAGCGCAACCCCUGUUGUUAGUUGCCAGCGAGUCAUGUCGGGAACUCUAACAAGACUGCCGGUGCAAACCGUGAGGAAGGUGGGGAUGACGUCAAAUCAUCACGGCCCUUACGUCCUGG
RNAcentral lists this ribosomal RNA (828 nucleotides) under uncultured Flavobacteriaceae bacterium. Its description in RNAcentral is "bacterial SSU rRNA". It matches the Rfam family "Bacterial small subunit ribosomal RNA", at positions 378 to 1212 of the family's 1533-position model. The record is from RNAcentral. Lineage: Bacteria; Pseudomonadati; Bacteroidota; Flavobacteriia; Flavobacteriales; Flavobacteriaceae.